RNAcentral lists this ribosomal RNA (933 nucleotides) under Triticum aestivum (bread wheat). Its description in RNAcentral is "partial small subunit ribosomal RNA". The record is from RNAcentral. Lineage: Eukaryota; Viridiplantae; Streptophyta; Magnoliopsida; Poales; Poaceae.
AUGCCGAGGCGGCCGGGAUCUAUAGGCGCCUCCACCUUUCUUUGCCAGAGGUGUGAAUCAAUCUUACAGCCAGGCUUCAACUGCACAAUCCGCAUAAAGAACAAAAAAAAGAAAGCAAAGCGGCGCAAGAAGUCAAAUCCUGGCCAAAACAGUGUUGUCUAUGCAUGCCAUUUCUGUGGAGACGGAAACCUGAUACGGGGUAGUGGAAAGGGUAUCGUGAAGGGCCUAUUGUCAUCAAGAAAGCCCUUUAGCACCAGCAUAAUGUUGAAAGGAGUCAACAUGCCAACAGUAACUACUAAAAAGGGGAUUGAGCAUUCUGUAACAGCAGCCUUGCAACUGGAAUCAUCCAGGUUGAAAACAUCCACUAUUGAAAAUGAUAAACAAGGUAAUGUGCCAAAAUCUAAUCUCCCUGGAGAAUCUAAAAUGGAGAAGAAAGGGGGAGUUUUCUCAAUGGUGGAUUGUAGUCUGUUAGGAGAUGCACAUGAAGAUAUCCCACAGAAAAUUGAAGUGGAAAGCACACAUGAUAAAUGUACGAAUGGAAUUGAGCCUGUGGCUUCCAAAAAUAUUACAACAUGUGAACCAGAUGUCACUUCCCAAGCAGAAUUUCUGGUUGGGUCAAACUUUGUUACUCCUCGGAAGAACAAACUGGCGGAAGUGACUGCGCAUAUAGGCUCAGCAGAAACAUUGAAAACUAAAAGUACACUGAACAGCAAAGGACAGAGUUGUGGUUCAGUUGCUAGGAAGACCCCUGGAAGUUAUAGCAAGUCAGCUUUGAAUACCAAAUCUGCACCAGGUGAUUCUACUCAGGCAGCUGGCAGUUCAAGGAAGCGGGCAAGAAAAGGGUGGACUACGCUGAAGCAGAUUGCUGAGAAGGAAGAACUUGAGAGAAAACAGAAGAUGGAUAACUUUGUAAUCCCGUUCUUCAUGCAGUAG